ACAGCGGCGGGAGGCGGGGGAGGGGAGGAAGGGAUUCUCAGCAACGUGAACCCCUGAAAGGAGUGACUCAGCUAGAAAAGUCACACUUGCUAGAAAAAUGCCUCCAGGGUUCCUCACUGUGGCUGACCCCAGAGUGAGACAACUGACUUUAAUUUGGGUAAAAACACUGACGGCGACUGGAGGAAACCUCCCUGUUCCUGCGCACAGAGAGGAACAACACACUCCCUUCCAAGGAGCUGCUGGAGACCCAGGAGCAAAAGAGGGAGCUGAAGACCAGCAGCCUGAGGAAGACCGCACCCCGGGGGAAGGCAGUGAGGGCGCCGCGGGGCCCUGCCUGCCCUGUGCAGCUUUGUCGGAGUAGAAGCCAGGAGACGCGGGAGUGAAGGACCCAGGGAAUUGGUGCCCGUGGGGCCGGGGCUCGAUGUGCACAGCUCCGUGCUGAGAGGGAGAAUGGCUGGUAUUUAAAAAUAACAGAGGCUCCCAGCAGGGCCCAUCCACCGAUUGGCAGCCGGGCUCUAUGCUGCCUCGGAGGCACAAAGCCUACGCCCCGGGAGCGGCUCUGAGACAGGAAAGCUUUAGCCUUCGGGCGGCAUUUCAUUCCUUUCUGGAAGGAAGAAUCGUUCCCUGGUUUCCCGGUGACAGCUGGAGCUGUGCCAGACAGACUCCUACUAACCCAUGGGAGGUGUUUGUUCUAAGGCCGUACACUUACCCAUGAUUUAUCCCAACCCCGGCGCUAAGCCUUUUGUCAUUAACUGCUGUUUCAGGCCCUGCCUGCUAACAUGCACCUGCACCAGAUUUUAGUUGCAAAGGGGAGAGGGCUGUGUCCAGUUGGGAAAUGGCAGCACUGGACCCCUGCUGCUCACGGGGCCCACAGCCCACGGCCUCCUCUCCUCUGAGUGGCCUAAGUCCGGCUGCCUUGUUUGUCACUGAGAUCGGUCCCAGGAGGCCACCAGGUUGCUGUGGGGUGGCAGUGGGGCAGCUUCUCCCCGCCCCAGUGAGGAGUUCACCCCGUGUCCACUGCAGAAAGGAGUCAUUUCCCUCUCAGAAGGAGGGUCUUUUCUCCUCCCGAGAGAAAUGGGGGUGAUGAAUGAAAUCUGAGGGGGCACUGAAAGGAAGAAUUUUCACGGGAGCAUGAUGGGAGCACAGAGGGGGCUGUAACCCCAAACCUAGAGACCUAGAACCAAGCCACAGACCUCUUGUUCACCCUCACAGCCCACCACUACCCCCACCAUCACCCAGGCUUAUAUGUGUGCUUGCUUGUUUGAGCCUCAGUUUCCCCUUCUGAAAAGGGGACACCGUGUGUUCACUCUGUGUUCUAGGAUCAAGGGAGGAGGUCAAAGAGCAGUGGCUGCCUGUCCUGGACCUAAAAAGCAGCAAGGCCAACUGGCCAGUGAAGGAGCGGUAGAGGUGGGGACAUGAGGGGUCCGCCAGCUCCGAGGGGGUGUGCAGCUUCUCAUUGCUGACAAAGCUCGGCAACAGAAAGCAUUGAGAUGGGGCCUUAUCACCAGCCAGAGAGGAGGGCGGGGCAGGCCUUCCACCCCCACUUUAUCCUGGGGAAUGCUGAGCUCCUACAGGCUGAGCGCCCUGCACAGGGUCCACAGUCAGUGUCGGCAUUCAGAGUCCACUUUGGACUUCCAACCCAUAUCCCUCCCAUACACCAUGCUAUGAUGGCCACGAGAUGGGCAAGAGUGUGUGUCAGGGUUGGGGUUGCAGGGCGAUGGCAGGAGAAAUGCACCUUGAAAGGAUGCAGCACCACUGCUGGGCACCUGGGAGAGACAGGGAUGGAGUCACAUCUAGCUGGACACCAGUGCUGGCAGGACCUGGCACUCAGAGGCCAGCACCUCAAAAUGCAGAUAUGGAAGCUGAAGAAUGGGG
This is a long non-coding RNA of Equus caballus (horse), 1875 nucleotides long. RefSeq lists it as uncharacterized. The record is from RefSeq and is a predicted model, not a curated record. Lineage: Eukaryota; Metazoa; Chordata; Mammalia; Perissodactyla; Equidae.